Molecule: ribosomal RNA, 465 nt
Filed under: uncultured bacterium
Lineage: Bacteria
Description: partial 16S ribosomal RNA
Rfam family: Bacterial small subunit ribosomal RNA
Source: RNAcentral
CCUACGGGUGGCAGCAGUGGGGAAUAUUCCGCAAUGGGCGAAAGCCUGACGCAGCGACGCCGCGUGAGGGAUGAAGGUCUUCGGAUCGUAAACCUCUGUCAGCAGGGAAGAACGGUCACUGUGAUAAUCAGCGGUGAAUUGACGGUACCUGCAAAGGAAGCACCGGCUAACUCCGUGCCAGCAGCCGCGGUACUACGGAGGGUGCGAGCGUUAGUGGGAAGUACUGGGCGUAGAGCGCUCGUAGGCGGUAUGUCAAGUCAAGUGUGAAAUCUCCGCGCUCAACGUGGUAACUGGCUUUGAAACUGGCAAACUGGAGUGUGAGAGAGGAUAGUGGAAUUACAGGUGUAGGAGUGAAAUCCGUAGAUAUCUGGAGGAACAUCAGUGGCGAAGGCGACUAUCUGGCACAUAACUGACGCUGAGGAGCGAAAGCGUGGGUAGCAAACAGGAUUAGAUACCCGAGUAGUC